CCUACGGGAGGCUGCAGUGGGGAAUAUUGCACAAUGGGGGAAACCCUGAUGCAGCGACGCCGCGUGAGUGAAGAAGUUAUUCGUUAUGUAAAGCUCUAUCAGCAGGGAAGAAAAUGACGGUACCUGAGUACGAAGCCCCGGCUAACUACGUGCCAGCAGCCGCGGCAAUACGUGGGGGGCAAGCGUUAUCCGGAUUUACUGGGUGUAAAGGGGGCGUAGACGGCAGUGCAAGUCUGGAGUGAAAGGCGGGGGCUCAACCCCCGGACUGCUGUGGAAACUGUAAGGCUGGAGUGCAGGAGAGGUAAGUGGAAUUCCUAGUGUAGCGGUGAAAUGCGUAGAUAUUAGGAGGAACACCAGUGGCGAAGGCAGCAUACUGGACUGUAACUGACGUUGAGGCUCGAAAGCGUGGGGAGCGAACAGGAUUAGAUACCCUUGUAGUC
This 440-nucleotide ribosomal RNA is filed under the name uncultured bacterium. RNAcentral describes it as "partial 16S ribosomal RNA". It matches the Rfam family "Bacterial small subunit ribosomal RNA", at positions 338 to 795 of the family's 1533-position model. The record is from RNAcentral.